UCUCCAAGUUUAUUAUUACCCCUUGAUUAUUAAUCCUUCUUGGAAAAUUGUAUUUGAAAUUUAAUUCAAAAUAACCCGCCAUUCCCGGCGAAUAAGAUAACUACUUUCCUGAAAUAUAUCAUCCGAUAAGAUUUUCGAUUCAUUUUUCCCUAUAAAUAAACCAAAACCCUACAUUUUUUUCAAGAGGAGAAGCAGCACAAAAGCUUCAACUACUGAUCACCAGUUGAGGUAAGAAAACAAGGACAUAAAGGCGGUGGGUGAACUGACAACAAUCUAUUACAUGUCUGGAGACCAAAGAGAAAAUGUUAAAGUUCGCCAAGAGAUGCAUAUCGGCAUGGAGAGGAUUCUUCCCGCAAAACUUACUUUAGAAAUACUUUCUCGUUUACCCACUGAAUCAGUCCUACAAUGCAGAGAAGUGUGCACAGGGUGGAGAGACCUAAUUGGCCAUCCUUCUAAUGCUCAUAUGCACUUGCAACGAUUAGCACAGUUUAACGGUAACAGUUUCUCAAGUCUUUCUUCUCAUACUGUCGCUGAUGUUGGCAUUGGCUUACUUUUUAGCUUUAUAUUUCCACCGGAAAACGGCUAUUGAUUUUACUAUGGAGAGUAUCAAAACCAGCAUAAUUAUAAACUUAAAAGGAUCAACCAGCCUCCCAUUGUUAGUAAGUCGGUCCUUGGUUCAUGUAACGGGUUGAUUUGCUUUUCCAAUCGUUUCGGUUUAUAUGAACCUAGCUGUAUUUGCAACCCUGUCAGCAGUGAGUACGUAAACAUUCCAAGGCUGAAUGUUAAAAGAAACGGCGAAUUUGAUGCUAUGGUGUGUGGUUUUGGUUACCAUCCUUCUACUAACAAGUACAAAAUAGUAAAAAUAUGCUAUGUCCGUAACCAACCUUUAGGGCAGGUCAAAGUAUAUACAGUAGGGAGUGGCACUGGUUGGAGAGAUAUGGGAGAAACCACAUACUCAUUGCGACCUACUGGGGGCUCUUAUCGAGGUAUUUACAAUUAUCGAUCCCCAUUUGGUACGUUGGCAAAUGGAGCACUUCAUUGGAUUAACGAGGUAAACAAGAUUGUGUCCUUUGAUUUGGCUAAUGAGAACGUAUACUUGCUCCCAUCGCCACCUUUUGACCGUCCUAUACUUCUGGGGGAUUGUUUCAAACUUGUGGCAUUGGGGGAUGCUUGUGUUUUGUUCAUUCAACGAAAGUAGGAUUAGACAUAUGGUUCUUAAAGAAGAAAGGGGAUUGCAUUAGUUCUGAUAUGAAUGAGCAGGACGAUUACGACUCAUUGAACUGGAUUAAGGAGUUCAGCAUACCAAUUGGACCUGAAGCAGAGCCAUGUGCCCUUACAAAUGGUGGUGAAGUUCUACUGGCCGGCCAAGCUAUUCUCUUUUGUUAUAAUCCACAAACAAAUUCCUUGAACACCAUUGCAGGUAACUAUUUUCAGCAUGGAUUUCGUUAUGUAAUUCCUCACAUGAACAGCUUUGUAUCGCUGAAAGCUCUUGGAGAAAAGUGUAAAAUUAGACAAAGAUAUGAUGUCAAUCCAGCACCAAGGGAAAUCUUCAUAGAACCACAGAGGGAGGAUAGAUACCGAAGACAUUGAUGCACAAACCUAGUUCACAUUAGUUGCAUACAUAGUGGAACUCAUAUGAUUCACACCACAUUUUUUUUCGUUUAUGCUGGAAACUGCUUUUCUGUCUUAAGUUUAGAUGAAUCACUGGAUUUCAGCAUUUGGUAUGUUAAGAAUGCUUGAAAUGAUGUUGAUUGUUUCUUUCUUA
This is a long non-coding RNA of Papaver somniferum (opium poppy), 1765 nucleotides long. RefSeq lists it as uncharacterized. The transcript is spliced from 2 exons. NCBI's taxonomy places the organism in Eukaryota, Viridiplantae, Streptophyta, Magnoliopsida, Ranunculales, Papaveraceae. The record is from RefSeq and is a predicted model, not a curated record.